RNAcentral lists this unclassified non-coding RNA (494 nucleotides) under Arachnomyces graciliformis. Its description in RNAcentral is "sequence contains 28S rRNA gene". It matches the Rfam family "Eukaryotic large subunit ribosomal RNA", at positions 97 to 596 of the family's 3401-position model. Lineage: Eukaryota; Fungi; Ascomycota; Eurotiomycetes; Onygenales; Arachnomycetaceae. The record is from RNAcentral.
AGCGGCAAGAGCUCAAAUUUGAAAUCUGACCCUUCGGGGUCCGAGUUGUAAUCUGCAGAGGAUGCUUCGGGUUCGGCCCCGGUCUAAGUCCCCUGGAACGGGGCGUCAUGCAGGGUGAGAAUCCCGUCCGGGACCGCCGGCCGGACCCGUGUGAAGCUCCUUCGACGAGUCGAGUUGUUUGGGAAUGCAGCUCCAAAUGGGUGGUAAAUUUCAUCUAAAGCUAAAUAUUGGCCGGAGACCGAUAGCGCACAAGUAGAGUGAUCGAAAGAUGAAAAGCACUUUGAAAAGAGAGUUAAACAGCAUGUGAAAUUGUUGAAAGGGAAGCGCUUGCGACCAGACUCGCUCGCGGGGGCUCAGCCGGCAUUCUUGCCGGUGCACUCCCCCGCGGUCGGGCCAGCGUCGGUUUGGGCGGUCGGUCAAAGGUCCCCGGAAUGUGUCGCCCUUCGGGGCGUCUUAUAGCCGGGGGCGCAAUGCGGCCUGCCCGGACCGAGGAA